UAUAAGUUUCUGUGUCCAACAUUUGAACGUUUGUCUUAUUUAAAAUUUAUAUAUAAUUAGUAUUUUUGUUGUUAUUAGAAUAUAAAACAUGAAUAUUAUUUAUACAUUUUUAAAUAAAACAAAUGAUUAAACGUUGAACUCAUAAACUCGUAAAUAAAUUUAUU
This 164-nucleotide microRNA precursor is filed under the name Oryza meridionalis. RNAcentral's name for it is "MIR812 microRNA precursor family". It matches the Rfam family "MIR812 microRNA precursor family". The record is from Rfam by way of RNAcentral. Lineage: Eukaryota; Viridiplantae; Streptophyta; Magnoliopsida; Poales; Poaceae.